This 253-nucleotide ribosomal RNA is filed under the name uncultured bacterium. RNAcentral's name for it is "partial 16S ribosomal RNA". It matches the Rfam family "Bacterial small subunit ribosomal RNA", at positions 524 to 776 of the family's 1533-position model. The record is from RNAcentral.
UACGUAGGUGGCAAGCGUUGUCCGGAUUUAUUGGGUUUAAAGGGUGCGUAGGCGGCUUUGUAAGUCAGUGGUGAAAUAUGGCAGCUCAACUGUCAAGGUGCCAUUGAUACUGCAGAGCUUGAGUACAGAUGAGGUAGGCGGAAUUGACGGUGUAGCGGUGAAAUGCUUAGAUAUCGUCAAGAACACCUAUAGCGAAGGCAGCUUACUAGGCUGUAACUGACGCUGAGGCCCGAAAGGGUGGGGAUCAAACAGG